Molecule: ribosomal RNA, 322 nt
Filed under: uncultured eukaryote
Lineage: Eukaryota
Description: partial 18S ribosomal RNA
Rfam family: Eukaryotic small subunit ribosomal RNA
Source: RNAcentral
CCCUUAGAUGUUCUGGGCCGCACGCGUGCUACACUGAGUGGAUCAGCGGGUCAGGUUGCGCGAAAGUGUUUCCUAAUCUUUAAAUCCGCUCGUGAUGGGGAUUGACGGUUGCAAUUUUCCGUCAUGAACGAGGAAUACCUUGUAAGCGCGGGUCAUCAUCCCGCGCUGAAUACGUCCCUGCCCUUUGUACACACCGCCCGUCGCUCCUACCGAUUGAGUGGUCCGGUGAGGCUUUGGGAUCUGAGCGGAAAGAGCGUUUCGCUGUUUCUGCUCGGAAAACUCAGUCGAACCUUAUCAUUUAGAGGAAGGAGAGGUCGUAACA